CCUUCACUAAUAAUAAAUUAAAGUUAAAAUGAUGAAUGAAUGGGAGUACAAUUUGAGUCAGUAAGCCUAAAUCAACAUCGAUCAUGAAUCAACCCCACUUCGUCUCCACCUCCAACUCUUCUUUGACUGUGUCAGUCAUAACUCUCAUCAACUGAUUCAAAUUCAAUGCUCAACUCAUGAACAAGAUUUGAUGUAUAAAAAUUUGAAAAUUGUUAUGUCACUGCAGGCAC
This 230-nucleotide long non-coding RNA is filed under the name Cicer arietinum (chickpea). RNAcentral's name for it is "long non-coding RNA (CARI_LNC002717)". The record is from RNAcentral. Lineage: Eukaryota; Viridiplantae; Streptophyta; Magnoliopsida; Fabales; Fabaceae.